UACGGGGGGGGCAAGCGUUGUUCGGAAUUACUGGGCGUAAAGCGCGUGUAGGCGGCGCUGCACGUCGGGUGUGAAAGCCCAGGGCUCAACCCUGGAAGGGCACUCGAAACGACGGCGCUGGAGUCCUGAAGAGGAGGGCGGAAUUCCCGGUGUAGAGGUGAAAUUCGUAGAUAUCGGGAGGAACACCAGUGGCGAAGGCGGCUCUCUGGACAGGUACUGACGCUGAGACGCGAAAGCGUGGGUAGCAAACAGG
This 253-nucleotide ribosomal RNA is filed under the name uncultured bacterium. RNAcentral describes it as "partial 16S ribosomal RNA". It matches the Rfam family "Bacterial small subunit ribosomal RNA", at positions 524 to 776 of the family's 1533-position model. The record is from RNAcentral.